Molecule: long non-coding RNA, 516 nt
Filed under: Physcomitrium patens
Lineage: Eukaryota; Viridiplantae; Streptophyta; Bryopsida; Funariales; Funariaceae
Description: long non-coding RNA (PPAT_LNC011564)
Source: RNAcentral
ACAUUUACCAAAGUCAAGAAUUUAAUCAACAAUAGCUCUAAUUCAUCAUAGAUGAAGUUCUACUUAUUCUUGGUAAAUUUUCAUCAUGCAAUACCACAUGCCUUGGAAUAAAUAUCACACACAAAACAUUGCAUCUAAAAUUAAAUAAAUAAAAUUAAUUUAAUAAAAGAUAAACAACAACAAACAUUUCAAGAUGCAUGCAUCCUCUUCACAACUAUUUGUUUCUUAGGUAUUCAUUUGAACUAUCUUUUUAUUGUAUUGUCCAAAGUUUGACAAACCAACUCUAAUAUGAAAGGUUGAUAAUGUAAAUACUGUAAAACUAUUUUGCCAAGCAUAGCUGUAAGAGUUGAUGGUUCUUAGCAAGCUUUCACUUGCAAACACUUUUUGUUGAAGCUUGAGUAGUAUAAUGCACUCUUUCUUCUGCCAAAAUAAAUUGGCAAUGUAAUAAUAAGCAAACUCACAUCUUUCCUCUCAAACUACUGAUCUAUAUAUAUAUUUUUACUUUUCAUCAACUUG